This 628-nucleotide ribosomal RNA is filed under the name uncultured bacterium. RNAcentral describes it as "bacterial SSU rRNA". It matches the Rfam family "Bacterial small subunit ribosomal RNA", at positions 10 to 670 of the family's 1533-position model. The record is from RNAcentral.
AGUUGAUCCUGGCUCAGGAUGAACGCUAGCGAGACGCUUAACACAUGCAAGUCGAAUGUUGCAGUAAUGCGACAUGGCAGACGGGUGAGUAACACGUGCUUAAUUUACCCCGGAGUGGGGGACAACAUCGGAAACGGUGAUAAUCCCGCAUACGUUCCAUAAAAUGAAAAUAUAUGGAAGAAAGAUUUAUCGCUCUGGGAGAAGGGCGCGGCUGACUAGUUAGUUGGUGAGGUAAUGGCUCACCAAGACGAUGAUCAGUAGCUGGUCUGAGAGGACGAACAGCCACAAUGGGACUGAGACAAGGCCCAUACCCCUACGGGGGGCAGCAGUGGGGAAUCUUGCGCAAUGGACGAAAGUCUGACGCAGCGAUCUCGCGUGAAGGAUGAAGCUUUGCGGAGUGUAAACUUCUUUUCUGGGAGAAAACAACUGAUGGUAUCUCAGGAAUAAGGGACGGCUAACUACGUGCCAGCAGCCGCGGUAAUACGUAGGUCCCAAGCGUUAUCCGGAUUUACUGGGCGUAAAGCGUCCGUAGCCGGCUUUGUAAGUCCGCUUUCAAAACCCGAAGCUCAACUUCGGAUCGGGAGUAGAUACUGCAAAACUAGAGAAAGAUAGAGGUAUGUAGAAUUUC